This 373-nucleotide ribosomal RNA is filed under the name uncultured bacterium. RNAcentral describes it as "bacterial SSU rRNA". It matches the Rfam family "Bacterial small subunit ribosomal RNA", at positions 524 to 898 of the family's 1533-position model. The record is from RNAcentral.
UACGUAGGUGGCAAGCGUUGUCCGGAAUUAUUGGGCGUAAAGGGUGCGUAGGCGGCUCUUUAAGUGGGAUGUGAAAUCCCUAGGCUCAACCUAGGAACUGCAUUCCAAACUGGAGAGCUAGAGUGCAGGAGAGGAAAGCGGAAUUCCCAGUGUAGCGGUGAAAUGCGUAGAGAUUGGGAGGAACACCAGUGGCGAAGGCGGCUUUCUGGACUGUAACUGACGCUGAGGCACGAAAGCGUGGGGAGCAAACAGGAUUAGAUACCCUGGUAGUCCACGCUGUAAACGAUGGGUACUAGGUGUAGGGGGCGAAGCCCUCUGUGCCGCAGCUAACGCAUUAAGUACCCCGCCUGGGGAGUACGGUCGCAAGAUUAAA